This 345-nucleotide ribosomal RNA is filed under the name uncultured bacterium. Its description in RNAcentral is "bacterial SSU rRNA". It matches the Rfam family "Bacterial small subunit ribosomal RNA", at positions 373 to 710 of the family's 1533-position model. The record is from RNAcentral.
GGGCGCAAGCCUGAUGCAGCCAUGCCGCGUGUGUGAAGAAGGCCUUCGGGUUGUAAAGCACUUUCAGCGGGGAGGAAGGCGAUAAGGUUAAUAACCUUGUCGAUUGACGUUACCCGCAGAAGAAGCACCGGCUAACUCCGUGCCAGCAGCCGCGGUAAUACGGAGNNWRNAARCGUUAAUCGGAAUUACUGGGCGUAAAGCGCACGCAGGCGGUCUGUCAAGUCGGAUGUGAAAUCCCCGGGCUCAACCUGGGAACUGCAUUCGAAACUGGCAGGCUAGAGUCUUGUAGAGGGGGGUAGAAUUCCAGGUGUAGCGGUGAAAUGCGUAGAGAUCUGGAGGAAUACC